RNAcentral lists this ribosomal RNA (271 nucleotides) under Gammarus sp. t TM-2021. RNAcentral describes it as "partial 16S ribosomal RNA". Lineage: Eukaryota; Metazoa; Arthropoda; Malacostraca; Amphipoda; Gammaridae. The record is from RNAcentral.
GCUAAGGUAGCAUAAUCAUUUGUUAUUUAAUUGGUAACUGGAAUGAAAGGUUAAACUAGCUUAUUAAGUUUGUGGGGCUAAAUAGGAGCUUAAAGUUAAGGUAAGAAUGCUUUAAUUUUUUAGGGGACGAUAAGACCCUAGAAGCUUAACGAGAGGUUGUUUUGUUUUAUAAAUUUGUUCGUUUUACUGGGGCGGUAAAAAUAAUUAAGCUAUUUGUUAUUUAAAGGAUCCUUAAAAUAAAGAAAAAAUGGAGAAGUUACUCUAGGGAUAA